Molecule: ribosomal RNA, 465 nt
Filed under: uncultured bacterium
Lineage: Bacteria
Description: partial 16S ribosomal RNA
Rfam family: Bacterial small subunit ribosomal RNA
Source: RNAcentral
GACGAACGCUGGCGGCGUGCUUAACACAUGCAAGUCGAACGGAAAGGCCCCUUUGGGGGUACUCGAGUGGCGAACGGGUGAGUAACACGUGAGUAACCUGCCCUUGACUUCGGGAUAACUUCAGGAAACUGGGGCUAAUACCGGAUAGGAAUCCUUGCUGCAUGGUGGGGGUUGGAAAGCUUCGGCGGUUUUGGAUGGACUCGCGGCUUAUCAGCUUGUUGGUGGGGUAGUGGCUUACCAAGGCUUUGACGGGUAGCCGGCCUGAGGGGGCGACCGGCCACAUUGGGACUGAGGUACGGCCCAGACUCCUACGGGAGGCAGCAGUGGGGAAUAUUGCACAAUGGGCGGGAGCCUGAUGCAGCAACGCCGCGUGCGGGAUGACGGCCUUCGGGUUGUAAACCGCUUUCAGCAGGGGCGAAGCUUGUGGUGACGGUACCUGCAGAAGAAGCACCGGCUAACUACGUG